CUAGAUUAGCAGGCUUUUAUCCUACGAUUUUUUAGUUAACAGCUAAAUACCUAAAUCAAGAUUUAAUCUA
This 70-nucleotide transfer RNA is filed under the name Desmognathus wrighti (pygmy salamander). RNAcentral's name for it is "tRNA-Asx". The record is from RNAcentral. Lineage: Eukaryota; Metazoa; Chordata; Amphibia; Caudata; Plethodontidae.